UCCCUGGUGGCUCAGAUGGUAAAGCAUCUGCCUGAAAUGCGGGAGACCCAGGUUCAAUCCCUGGGUUGAGAA
This 72-nucleotide transfer RNA is filed under the name Bos indicus x Bos taurus (hybrid cattle). It matches the Rfam family "tRNA". From Rfam's summary of the family: Transfer RNA (tRNA) molecules are approximately 80 nucleotides in length. The record is from Rfam by way of RNAcentral. Lineage: Eukaryota; Metazoa; Chordata; Mammalia; Artiodactyla; Bovidae.